RNAcentral lists this unclassified non-coding RNA (161 nucleotides) under uncultured fungus. RNAcentral describes it as "sequence contains ITS1". Lineage: Eukaryota; Fungi. The record is from RNAcentral.
UGACUGCGGAGGAUCAUUAGUGAUUACGAACGGUUGCCUUCUGUGCUGGCCAGAAACUGGCAAGUGCACGUCGGUGGCUUUCAUCCAAUACCCUGUGAACCUCUGGCCUCUUGCUAGCUUCGGCCGGCAGAGGAAUUUUACACACACUCGAAUGUAAUGAA